AUUUACAGAAAAAACUUGGUGAUGUCCAGCAUAAAAAAACUAUGAAAAAUGCACAAACCCAAGUUGCUAAUGAUCAUCCAGUUUUGAAGUUAGAUAAAAAAAAAAUUAGAAUUUUGCUGGAAGAGCUUUGGAGUUGCAUAGAGUCUUCAACUGAAAACAGUGAUGGGGAUAAACUAAUGCUAG
Nanorana parkeri is the source of this 183-nucleotide long non-coding RNA. RefSeq lists it as uncharacterized. NCBI's taxonomy places the organism in Eukaryota, Metazoa, Chordata, Amphibia, Anura, Dicroglossidae. The transcript has 3 exons. The record is from RefSeq and is a predicted model, not a curated record.